GACGAACGCUGGCGGCGUGCUUAACACAUGCAAGUCGAACGGAAAGGCCCUGCUUUUGUGGGGUGCUCGAGUGGCGAACGGGUGCGUAACACGUGAGUAACCUGCCCUUGACUUUGGGAUAACUUCAGGAAACUGGGGCUAAUACCGGAUAGGAGCUCCUGCUGCAUGGUGGGGGUUGGAAAGUUUCGGCGGUUGGGGAUGGACUCGCGGCUUAUCAGCUUGUUGGUGGGGUAGUGGCUUACCAAGGCUUUGACGGGUAGCCGGCCUGAGAGGGUGACCGGCCACAUUGGGACUGAGAUACGGCCCAGACUCCUACGGGAGGCAGCAGUGGGGAAUAUUGCACAAUGGGCGGAAGCCUGAUGCAGCAACGCCGCGUGCGGGAUGACGGCCUUCGGGUUGUAAACCGCUUUCGCCUGUGACGAAGCGUGAGUGACGGUAAUGGGUAAAGAAGCACCGGCUAACUACGU
This 467-nucleotide ribosomal RNA is filed under the name uncultured bacterium. RNAcentral describes it as "partial 16S ribosomal RNA". It matches the Rfam family "Bacterial small subunit ribosomal RNA", at positions 28 to 506 of the family's 1533-position model. The record is from RNAcentral.